CUGACCAGCCGAGGCCUCACUCGCACUCUUUUGCAGUCAUUAACGCUUCUGUUCCAGAACCUUCUAUCAGAACUGAGAUAUCCAGCAUCUACAGAUUUCUAUCUCAAAAUUACUCACUGCUCUGUGACUGAAACUUUGCUGAUAUCCUGGGAUUCUGGACAGCAAUUACAAGCAGGAUGAGAGUGAAUUUAUAUUGGGUCAAGGGGACAGGACAAUAUUGUGUGCGAAGACAAGGUUCUGUGCCCAAAGCACACGGCCAGCAACCGGCUCGCUGCUUUCAAUCUUCCGUGCACUCACGCGGCACAUCAGGCAGCGGCAUCGACCUCAAAUCGGCACACCUCCAGAGCCACGACAAGCCGGUACCCUGAAGGCGCCCUGGUCUUCCUGGCAGAGGCCAGUCGUGAGGCCCUGAGAGCGGGUCCCAUUUCCUCAAAGAACCAAAGUCAGCCUGUAACUCCAGGCCAGGGUCUUCCAAAGAACUUGGAGCCACCAUCAAGCAGGAUAGAACCAGACUACAGCGCACAGUGAGGACUGCCGAGCCUCCCUGCAGCUCUAUUGCAGACCUGUACUCUUCCAGGUUGAAGAAGAGGGCGGGGAACAUCAUAAAGGACUCCUUCCAUCCUGCGCACAGACUGUUUGAACUGCUUCCGUCUGGUAGGUGCUUCAGAUCCCUCCAGACUAAGACUAAUAGACACUGGAGAAGUUUUUUCCCUACUGUGGCCACUUUGCUGAACAGUUAACUGCCGGUUAACUGUCGGCUAACUAUUACUUGGAUUGCUCUACCUUUAUGUAUAAUCUGUAUUUUCAUUUAUAUUUAUCAUUAUUAUUGUUCUGAGCAGAGAGACAACAUCUGCCAGAAGUAAAUUCCUUGUAUGUGCACAGGUACUUGGCGAUUAAAGUCUGAUUCUGAUAUUAAAGAUAGAAAUACUGUCUCCGAAGAUGCAAGCAAAGGAGUUGCCGUUAGGGCCAUCAUCCUAAUCUCCGCCCUCCGUGACUGUUAGAACAUAUUCAGGAUGUAUAGCAAAAUAUUAAUUUCAGCAACUAACUUCAGCAAAUUAUCUUUAGAUCUGAAUAUGGCCUGCAGAUUAAAUUUAAAAUGCAGCUCUGGACAUUAGGUUCCUAGAGCUGUUAAUUGAAAAACCAGACAAUAAAGGUUAACAAUCAUUUUGAAUGUUAUGUGUGGCUGCGUAGAAGGAGAAGUUAUACGUAAUUCAAAGGAGGCAUUGUAGAUACAUUGUAUCUAUAGAAUUGUCCUUUAAUCUUUAGCAUAUAAAAUGUCACAUAAUGUUGGGCCAAACAAGACACAUGCUCCCAAAGGAUCUCAGUAUGAUGCCCACUAUGUCUCAUUUUGUCGAAUAAAAGACUACUUCAUAUCUACCAGCUACAUCUCUCUGGUGACUUAGUUCACACUACAACAGUGACAUAUACUGUAUGUAUUUUCUUAAUAAAUUUACUUUGAACUUUGAAUUUUGACAUUGCUGAAGGGUCAUAGCUGUUAGUGAUAAAGUUAAACUUUUAACAAGUAUGCUUCUCUCAGCUUGUUGUUGUAAACAAGAACCAGUUUCCAUUUAGAACAUAGAACAUAGCACAGUACAGCAUAGUACAGGCCCUUUGACCCACAAUGCUGUGCUGACUCCCAUAUAACUCUGCCUCCCAUAUAACCCCCCACCUUAAAUUCCUCCAUAUACCUGUCUAGAAGUCUCUUAAACUUCACUAGCAUAUCUGCCUCCACCACUGACCCUGGCAGUGCAUUCCAUGCACCAACCACUCUCUGAGUAAAAAACCUUCCUCUAAUAUCCCCCUUGAACUUCCCUCCCCUUGCCUUUAAAGCCGUAUUGAGCCGUAUAAAGCCGUAUUGAGCAGUGGUGCCCUGGGGAAGAGGCACUGGCUGUCCACUCUAUUUAUUCCUCUUAAUAUCUUGUAUACUUCUAUCAUGUCUCCUCUCAUCUUCCUUUUCUCCAAAGAGUAAAGCCCUAGCUCCCUUAAUCUCUGAUCAUAAUGCAUACUCUCUUAAUGCAUAUCUCUUAAUGUAAAAUAAUGCAUAUUUCUUAAUGUAAAUUGCGAACAGCAGUAAGUUUGAAGCUGGAGGCACAACUUUGCAAAGACCAGGACAGCCCUUGACUGCAUUAGCCAAAUGCAACACAAUGGGUUAUGUCAGGCAACACAUCAGACAUGGUUACAAGUUGCAAUGCUCUUGUGGUCAGAGGGUCAGCCCUCACAGCAGUAAUUGCGGAUGCUUGGGGCUAACGUUCCCUGGUGCUUUUCAGUCCACAUGUGUGAGCGCCUUUGAUCCAGCAGAGGUGUCUGGAAAACUUCAUAUGCAGAUGAUGUCACUUAGUAGAAAAUAGUAUGGUUGUCAUAAGCAUUGGGGAUUGUUAGGAAUGACAAGGAGAAAUGCAGAAAGAUGGGAUGACAGAAAGAAGAACUAGAAUUCAUUCCUCAACCUUCAGUUUCUGUGACAGGCAACUUGUUAAUCUGCAACUCAUUGGUAUGCUUGUCCAGUUCAUAGGAUUUGUACCAUGUUCUGAAAUCCUUUCUGGUUUGUAAAUUGUUUUGUAAUUCAGAAAUCUUUUAUAAAUCAGAAAUCCCCUGUGUAUGUUAAACCUGUGUUAAAAACUAUUUGU
Hypanus sabinus (Atlantic stingray) is the source of this 2624-nucleotide long non-coding RNA. RefSeq lists it as uncharacterized. The record is from RefSeq and is a predicted model, not a curated record. NCBI's taxonomy places the organism in Eukaryota, Metazoa, Chordata, Chondrichthyes, Myliobatiformes, Dasyatidae. The transcript is spliced from 3 exons.